RNAcentral lists this ribosomal RNA (584 nucleotides) under Bacilli bacterium. Its description in RNAcentral is "bacterial LSU rRNA". It matches the Rfam family "Bacterial large subunit ribosomal RNA", at positions 2346 to 2925 of the family's 2925-position model. Lineage: Bacteria; Bacillati; Bacillota; Bacilli. The record is from RNAcentral.
AGAGUGUAAAGGCAGAAGGGAGCUUGACUGCGAGACCUACAAGUCGAGCAGGGACGAAAGUCGGGCUUAGUGAUCCGGUGGUUCCGCAUGGAAGGGCCAUCGCUCAACGGAUAAAAGCUACCCCGGGGAUAACAGGCUUAUCUCCCCCAAGAGUUCACAUCGACGGGGAGGUUUGGCACCUCGAUGUCGGCUCAUCGCAUCCUGGGGCUGUAGUCGGUCCCAAGGGUUGGGCUGUUCGCCCAUUAAAGCGGUACGCGAGCUGGGUUCAGAACGUCGUGAGACAGUUCGGUCCCUAUCCGUCGUGGGCGUUGGAAGUUUGAGAGGAGCUGUCCUUAGUACGAGAGGACCGGGAUGGACAUACCGCUGGUGUACCAGUUGUUCCGCCAGGAGCAUAGCUGGGUAGCUACGUAUGGAAAGGAUAAGUGCUGAAAGCAUCUAAGCAUGAAGCCCCCCUCAAGAUGAGACUUCCCAUCAUUUUAAAUGAGUAAGAUCCCUCAGAGACGAUGAGGUUAAUAGGUUUGAGGUGGAAGCGUGGCGACACGUGGAGCUGACAAAUACUAAUCGAUCGAGGACUUAACUAAUUU